RNAcentral lists this ribosomal RNA (253 nucleotides) under uncultured bacterium. RNAcentral's name for it is "partial 16S ribosomal RNA". It matches the Rfam family "Bacterial small subunit ribosomal RNA", at positions 524 to 776 of the family's 1533-position model. The record is from RNAcentral.
UACGUAGGGUGCAAGCGUUGUCCGGAAUUAUUGGGCGUAAAGAGCUCGUAGGUGGUCUGUUGCGUCGGCUGUGAAAACCCGGGGCUCAACCCCGGGCCUGCAGCCGAUACGGGCAGACUAGAGUUCGGCAGGGGAGACUGGAAUUCCUGGUGUAGCGGUGAAAUGCGCAGAUAUCAGGAGGAACACCGGUGGCGAAGGCGGGUCUCUGGGCCGAUACUGACACUGAGGAGCGAAAGCGUGGGGAGCGAACAGG